Molecule: transfer-messenger RNA, 356 nt
Filed under: bacterium
Lineage: Bacteria
Description: JAMWDF01 sp023818865 X1 Standard tmRNA
Rfam family: transfer-messenger RNA
About the family: Bacterial tmRNA, also known as 10Sa RNA or SsrA, is named for its dual tRNA and mRNA-like properties. Its role is to liberate the mRNA from a stalled ribosome.
Source: RNAcentral
GGGGGCGAAAUAGGCAUCGACAGAGGAAUGGAUGGGCAGUUCUGCCUGCCGGGGUUGUCAGCACCCCGUUCAAAACUGACAGAACAACAACUGCCAAUACGGCAAACUGCCUGGCUGCCUGAGGGCGGCCACUCACCGGAUGAUUCCGCUCUCGAAUCUUCCACCGUGAGUCGGCAAGAGAGCCCGCGCAGGUCCGGUUUCCCUUCGCCGUCCUGCGGCGGUAUCAAGGAAGGGUGCGCCUUCUGACUCCGGUCCGGAGGGGGAAGGAAGGCAAAGGAGUACGCUCCGGAACACGCAGGUAGACGAACUGCUGGUCCGCCUUCUGGACGCGGGGGCAGUACCCGCCGCCUCCACCA